RNAcentral lists this ribosomal RNA (328 nucleotides) under uncultured eukaryote. RNAcentral describes it as "partial 18S ribosomal RNA". It matches the Rfam family "Eukaryotic small subunit ribosomal RNA", at positions 1470 to 1796 of the family's 1831-position model. The record is from RNAcentral.
CCCUUAGAUGUCCUGGGCCGCACGCGCGUUACACUGAUGCAUUCAACGAGCUUAUAACCUUGGCCGAGAGGCCUGGGCAAUCUUGUUAACGUGCAUCGUGAUAGGGAUAGAUUAUUGAAAUUAUUAAUCUUGAACGAGGAAUUCCUAGUAAACGCAGAUCAUCAAUCUGCAUUGAUUACGUCCCUGCCCUUUGUACACACCGCCCGUCGCACCUACCGAUUGGAUGUGCUGGUGAAAUGUUCGGAUCGGCCGUUUGUCGCGGUUUCCGCGGCUCGUGGCUGAGAAGUUCAUUAAACCCUCCCACCUAGAGGAAGGAGAAGUCGUAACA